GGUAUGACACAUACUCCAUCAGGAUGUUGUGAUUGUGUACAACUACUGUACCGGUUCGAUCCAGUUUGGUCCCGAACGGCAGGAUCCUCAUAGCGCACGAGUGUGAAAGAAUGACAGGAAUACGGCACGAAGAAAGAUGAAGAGAAGCGUCCACGAGCAUCUGGAGGAAGGCAGAUACGGGCGGAGAGAUUUCAGGCCUCGGUAAGGUCAUCUUCACACCCUCUUGUUUUCUUCAUCCUUCCUCUCUGUGCCUGUAACCUUCACCAGGAGGCCACAGCGGACAUGAUGAAUGGAAUCAGAGCCGGAGAGAGGACAAAGAUGAGGGCGGGAGAGGCAGAUGAAAAAUGACAAACUCUGAAGAGGAAAACAGCGAGAGAGACAGAGCAGUGUAACGCUCCGAGAGCCCGAGCUGAGUAUUGAAUCCGGAGAGGAAAUGGGAGCCAGUUCCAGCCGGCUGGGCACAGUUGAGUUAAGUAUUGAUUUUCAGGGGGAGUUUAAAACCCUCAGACACCCUGCACAGUAAUCCAGGCUCAGGAAAGCAUCUAGCAUCAGUGGCCAACUGAAGUGUGUGUGUUCCACAAGGCCCGCGGGAUCUUUGACCGCAAACAUGGGGAGCAUGAGACCCUGUUCGUUCACCAUCAGUGGGGGCUACUGGGACGAUGCAUGCCCCCCCCUUUAAUUUAGUUAGAAAUUAAAUUACAAAUAGGUUGGGAAAAGCAACUAUUUCAAUACAUGGGGGUAUAUAGAGUACAAGGAUGCACUACUUAAAAUCUAAAUUCACAAUCUGAAAAAAUAAACACGCCAAUUUGACUUAAGGAAAGGCACCGCACUUGGCGUCCAUAUUUGCAAUACCUGUGGGCAGCUAUUUCAGUCAAGACCAAAUCCUGUCAACUUCUAUUGGAAAAAACAUUACAUCUUUACAUAUGCUCACAAUGAGUGCAAUAAAACACAUUUCCAAUCGAGAAUCAACUAUGCCAAAAUAUUUUGAUUCUUGAACUCAAAUUGCCCUGAAACCCAUUGUUCCCAACUUUUCCAGGACGUCCUUCACUACAGAAGCUGUGUUGAGCAU
This is a long non-coding RNA of Triplophysa rosa, 1069 nucleotides long. RefSeq lists it as uncharacterized. The transcript has 3 exons. The record is from RefSeq and is a predicted model, not a curated record. NCBI's taxonomy places the organism in Eukaryota, Metazoa, Chordata, Actinopteri, Cypriniformes, Nemacheilidae.